GGGGGCGACUAGAAUCGACGGGAUCCGUGUGUCGGAAGGUCGCAGGCCCUGGUUGGUCGAAGCCAGGAUAAAACUCGGCCAAACAACAACUGCCAACUCACCGUUGGCCUGGGCGACUGCCUAAACCGCAGUGCCGUCCACGUCGGCCCGCCGAAACCUGCUGAGUGGGACCCGGCGUCGAUUAGCAGGCAUGGAGCCGUACCGCGCGCCUCGUCGGCGCGGCUCCGAGAACAAACGAGGCUAGCCUCGGGGGCACUGGUCCGGAGGGUUCCCCGGGGCGAAACACAAGCCGGACUAAGCCUGUAGGGGCCGCCGAGAGCGGAUGUCGGACGCGGGUGCGAAUCCCGCCGCCUCCACCA
RNAcentral lists this transfer-messenger RNA (359 nucleotides) under Elusimicrobia. RNAcentral describes it as "UBA9639 sp003450735 Standard tmRNA". It matches the Rfam family "transfer-messenger RNA". From Rfam's summary of the family: Bacterial tmRNA, also known as 10Sa RNA or SsrA, is named for its dual tRNA and mRNA-like properties. Its role is to liberate the mRNA from a stalled ribosome. To accomplish this part of the tmRNA is used as a reading frame that ends in a translation stop signal. RNAcentral also lists the same sequence under 1 other name. Lineage: Bacteria; Pseudomonadati; Elusimicrobiota. The record is from RNAcentral.